GGGUCCUACGGGAGGCAGCAGUGAGGAAUAUUGGUCAGUGGUCGGGAGACUGAACCAGCCAAGCCGCGUGAGGGAGGAAGGUACAGAGUAUCGUAAACCUCUUUUGUCAGGGAACAAAGGCGGGGACGUGUCCCCGGAUGAGUGUACCUGAAGAAAAAGCAUCGGCUAACUCCGUGCCAGCAGCCGCGGUAAUACGGAGGAUGCGAGCGUUAUCCGGAUUUAUUGGGUUUAAAGGGUGCGCAGGCGGUCUGGUAAGGCAGCGGUCAAAGCCCGGGGCUCAACCCCGGCCCGCCGUUGCAAAUGGC
Molecule: ribosomal RNA, 305 nt
Filed under: uncultured bacterium
Lineage: Bacteria
Description: bacterial SSU rRNA
Rfam family: Bacterial small subunit ribosomal RNA
Source: RNAcentral